This 253-nucleotide ribosomal RNA is filed under the name uncultured bacterium. RNAcentral describes it as "partial 16S ribosomal RNA". It matches the Rfam family "Bacterial small subunit ribosomal RNA", at positions 524 to 776 of the family's 1533-position model. The record is from RNAcentral.
UACGUAGGGUCCGAGCGUUGUCCGGAAUUAUUGGGCGUAAAGGGCUCGUAGGCGGUUCGUCACGUCGGGAGUGAAAACUCGGAGCUUAACUCCGAGCCUGCUUCCGAUACGGGCAGACUAGAGGUAGGCAGGGGAGAGCGGAACUCCUGGUGUAGCGGUGGAAUGCGCAGAUAUCAGGAAGAACACCAGUGGCGAAGGCGGUCUCCUGGGGCAUUCUUGACGCUGAGGCGCGAAAGCUGGGGGAGCAAACGGG